GACGAACGCUGGCGGCGUGCCUAAUACAUGCAAGUAGAACGCAGUUGCGAAAGGGUGAGUAACGCGUAGGUAACUGCCUGGUAGCGGGGGAGUACUAAUGGAAACGAUAGCUAAUACCGCAUACUACAAGAUGGACAUGCGUUGUAUUAGGUAGUUGGUGGGGUAACGGCGCACCAAGGCAACGAUACAUAGGCGACCUGAGAGGGGGAUCCGCCACACUGGGACUGAGACACGGCCCAGACUCCUACGGGAGGCAGGCGUAGGGAAUCUUCGGAAAUUGACGGAAGUCUGACCGAGCAACGCCGCGUGAGUGAAGAAGGUUUUCGGGGCGUAAAGCUCUGUUGUAAGAGAAGCGGUAUCUUACCAGAAAGGGACGGCUAACUCCGUGCCAGCAGCCGCGGUAAUUC
This 407-nucleotide ribosomal RNA is filed under the name uncultured bacterium. Its description in RNAcentral is "partial 16S ribosomal RNA". It matches the Rfam family "Bacterial small subunit ribosomal RNA", at positions 28 to 526 of the family's 1533-position model. The record is from RNAcentral.